UUACUCAGUUUUUGAACGCGCAGUGCAGC
Molecule: non-coding RNA, 29 nt
Filed under: Bombyx mori (domestic silkworm)
Lineage: Eukaryota; Metazoa; Arthropoda; Insecta; Lepidoptera; Bombycidae
Source: RNAcentral